AUGGAGGAUCCCGGAGAGCAGAAUGGCAAUGCCCAUGCCCCUGUAGCUGCCGGCAACACUCUCGACGAGCCGCAGCAGCUGCAGCAAGACGGUGCCGACGAGGCCGAGCCGCAGCAGCUGCAACAAGAGGGCGCCAACGAGGAGGCCGAGCUCCUAUGGAAGCUGAGGAAGUACCUGGUGCUGAUGGCCAUCCUCGUGGCGGCCAUCACGUUCCAGGCGGGGCUGGCCCCGCCGGGCGGCUUCUGGCAGCACAACGACGAGCACGGCCACGUCGCCAGCGACAUCGUGAUGAAGUCCAGCUACCCCAGGCGGUACCUUGCCUUCUUCUACUACAACACCAUGGCGUUCGGGGCCUCGCUCCUGGUGCUCAUACUGCUCCUGCUGAGGGAGCUGACCCACAAGGCCGCCUGGCUCCGCGCGCUCCAGUUCGCCAUGAUUCUUGGCUUACUGGGGCUCAUGGGGGCCUUCGCCGCUGGGAGCUGCAGGGAGGUGAGGACCUCUGCUUACAUCUGGGUGUUACUCCUUGGCAUCUCCGCCUAUGUCACACUCCAUGAGGUGUUCUUCAAGCACCUGGCACCUGAGCGGCUGCGAAAAUUUCUAUCCGGUGUUAGUAAACGUUGGAAGGGAACUCCGGGGGACAUUUUCACGUCAUCAAAACCAGAUGAGCAAAAGGCUUCAAAUGCAGAGAGGGUAGCCGAUGAGGGAGUGACUUCAAUCCAGAUGGAAGAACCUGAAAGAAAUGGCAGCUCCGUGCAGGUUCUUGCAGAAGAAGAGAAGAAGAAAAAGGAGAAAGAGGCUGCAGACAGAGAGGAAGAUCUUGAAAGAAAUCGCAGCUCCUUGCUGGUUCUUGCCACAUUGGUAGCAACAGUGACAUAUGUGGCAGGGCUAACCCCUCCAGGUGGCUUCUGGUCUGAUGACAACAAGAACCACAUUCCUGGUGAUCCGGUGCUGCGAGACCACUAUCCACGCCGAUUCAAGGCCUUCUUCUAUUGCAAUGCCACUGCUUUUGCUGGAUCACUUGUCAUCAUCAUCAUGGUCCUCAGUCAAACAGCAGUGGAUCAUGUUGUCAAGUCAAAUGCUCUGCGGUUGUGUGUGGUAGUCAGUCUAUUUGGGCUUAUGGGGGCAUAUGCUGCUGGAAGUUGCAGGGAGGUACAUACAUCUAUCUAUGUCUUUGCACUUGUUGGCACAGUCUUGCUCUACCUCAUCAUCCAGUGUAUUGAACCUGCUCUGUCUAAGUUGGCAUGUAUUGCAAACACCAUCACACGUGUGAAAGAGAGAAAUAAAGAAAUGGUUCGGAAGCUGAGGGAUUUCAUCACUGACUUGUUAAAAUCUCCCAUACCAGUACAAGAUCAGUCAGACAACAGCACUCCAGGCACUGAUGGUAAGGAUUUCCAGAAGUUGCGCACAUACCUUCUAUUACUUGGCAUCCUUGCUGCCACAGUCACAUUCCAAGCUGGGCUGAAUCCACCAGGAGGCUUUUGGACAGAUAACAGUGAUGGGCAUAUUGCUGGUGAUCCAAUUUUGGAGACCAUCAGUCCCAAGCGCUACAAGGCAUUCUUCUAUUGCAAUGCCACAGCAUUUGUAGCCUCUUUGGCCAUCAUCAUCCUACUCCAGAGCCAGUUGAUUACCAUUCAUGCCAUGAAGCGUUAUGUACUGCAAACAGCAAUGACACUGGUGCUCUUUGGUCUUAUGGGAGCCUACGUCGCUGGAAGCAGCAGGAAGUUCUCAACAUCCAUUUAUGUGUUCGUCCUAGUCCUCCUAGUUUUCGCCUAUGUUGUACUUCAUAUUCUAUAUGAGAGGGCACUAGGGAAUACUGGGAGCACAGCAGGGAGUACUGAGAGCACAGCAGGGAAUACCGGGAGCACAGUAGGGAAUACUGGGGUUUCCAUGCCAGAAACCCCCCCAAAUCCUAGUUCUUCUGAACCUACUCUUGAAGAAAAAAAAGAUUUAACCUCCCAAAAUCCUAGUUCUUCUGAACCUACUCCUGAAGAAAAAAAAGAUUUGCAGAAGAGGCGCAAGUUUCUGAUGUUGCUCGCAAUUCUAGCAGCUUCUAUCACAUACCAAACUGGUAUAAGCCCACCAGGUGGCUUUUGGACUAACGGCCACCGAGCAGGUUAUCCAGUGUUUCGUGACGAGUUCCGAAACCGCUAUAGGGUGUUCUUCUACUUCAAUGCUACUGCUUUCAUGGCAUCCCUGGCAGUAAUUCUGUUGCUUGUUAACAAGAGGCUAUGCAACAAAGGUCUGAGGUGCCAUGCGCUAUGUGCAUGCGUAUUGGUUGAUCUGAUCAGCCUCAUGGGUGCUUUUGCUACGGGAAGCUGCAGAGAAGUGCCAACAUCUGGCUAUGUCAUUCUUGUUGUUCUUGCAGUGUUUGUCUAUGUCAUAAUUCAAGUCCUGGUUCUGACACCAAAAGAUAAGUGGAAAGAGUUGCUGCGGCCUUCUAAGAACCAACAUUCAUCAAUGAAUCACACGAGAAGUAUAGAUGAUACUGAUAGUAAGAGAACAGAGCACAAAUGGCGCAAAGAUUUGAUGCUGAUUGGAACUCUUACAGUCACUGUCACAUACCAAGCCGGUCUGCUUCCGCCAGGAGGAGUUUGGCCUGAUGACCAGGAUGGCCAUUUUGCAGGUGACCCUAUCCUCCAUGAUACCAACCUAACACGGUACAAGGUAUUCUUCUAUUGCAACGCCACAGCAUUCAUGGCCUCAAUGGUCAUGGUCAUCCUCCUGCUGAACAACACAAUAAGCAAGCACAAGAGAUCUCUCUUUGCCAUGAAAACAGCAAUGGUCUUGGACUUGCUUGGUUUACUUGGGGCAUAUGCCGCAGGCAGCUGCAGGAAGUUGAAGACAUCUGCGUACAUUUUUGCACUUGUCAUUGCCGUGAUAAUCUACAUCGUCAUUCAUGUCUUGUUGUCAUUUGACGAAGUGGCAAGGUUAGUGAAGCAGAAGGGGAAAAGGUGGGUGCGAUGUCUGAAAAGGUGUUUCUGUUGCAACUGA
Molecule: ribosomal RNA, 2991 nt
Filed under: Triticum aestivum (bread wheat)
Lineage: Eukaryota; Viridiplantae; Streptophyta; Magnoliopsida; Poales; Poaceae
Description: partial small subunit ribosomal RNA
Source: RNAcentral